Molecule: ribosomal RNA, 582 nt
Filed under: uncultured bacterium
Lineage: Bacteria
Description: bacterial SSU rRNA
Rfam family: Bacterial small subunit ribosomal RNA
Source: RNAcentral
ACGGGCGAGUAACACGUGGGCAACCUGCCCUUGAGACUGGGAUAACUUCGGGAAACCGGAGCUAAUACCGGAUAAUAUGAGGAACCUCCUGGUUCUUUAUUGAAAGAUGGUUUCGGCUAUCACUUAAGGAUGGGCCCGCGGCGCAUUAGCUAGUUGGUGAGGUAACGGCUCACCAAGGCGACGAUGCGUAGCCGACCUGAGAGGGUGAUCGGCCACACUGGGACUGAGACACGGCCCAGACUCCUACGGGAGGCAGCAGUAGGGAAUCUUCCACAAUGGACGAAAGUCUGAUGGAGCAACGCCGCGUGAGUGAUGAAGGCCUUCGGGUCGUAAAGCUCUGUUGUUAGGGAAGAACAAGUGCGAGAGUAACUGCUCGCACCUUGACGGUACCUAACCAGAAAGCCACGGCUAACUACGUGCCAGCAGCCGCGGUAAUACGUAGGUGGCAAGCGUUAUCCGGAAUUAUUGGGCGUAAAGCGCGCGCAGGUGGUUUCUUAAGUCUGAUGUGAAAGCCCACGGCUCAACCGUGGAGGGUCAUUGGAAACUGGGGAACUUGAGUGCAGAAGAGGAAAGUGGAAUUCC